RNAcentral lists this ribosomal RNA (440 nucleotides) under uncultured bacterium. RNAcentral describes it as "partial 16S ribosomal RNA". It matches the Rfam family "Bacterial small subunit ribosomal RNA", at positions 338 to 795 of the family's 1533-position model. The record is from RNAcentral.
CCUACGGGGGACAGCAGUGGGGAAUAUUGCACAAUGGGGGAAACCCUGAUGCAGCGACGCCGCGUGAGUGAAGAAGUAUUUCGGUAUGUAAAGCUCUGUCAGCAGGGAAGAAAAUGACGGUACCUGACCAAGAAGCCCCGGCUAACUACGUGCCAGCAGCCGCGGUAAUACGUAGGGGGCAAGCGUUAUCCGGAUUUACUGGGUGUAAAGGGAGCGUAGACGGCAGGGCAAGUCUGCAGUGAAAGGUGGGGGCUCAACCCCCGGACUGCUCUGGAAACUGCCAGGCUUGAGUGCAGGAGAGGCAAGUGGAAUUCCGAGUGUAGCGGUGAAAUGCGUAGAUAUUAGGAGGAACACCAGUGGCGAAGGCGGCUUACUGGACUGUAACUGACGUUGAGGCUCGAAAGCGUGGGGAGCAAACAGGAUUAGAUACCCGAGUAGUC